AUUAUCAACCCUCAAGCCCGGCUUGCCGUUGGGUCUCACCGUUGCAACACCCGGUGGACCCAAAAGAUAAUGGCAGAGUCCGUGGGGACCCUGGAUGCAGCGAGCUCUUUAGCACGCGUCUGGACGGUUUCCCGGCUCGGUCUCAACCAAAUAUUUUUCAGGUUGACCUCGGAUCAGGUAGGGAUACCCGCUGAACUUAA
RNAcentral lists this unclassified non-coding RNA (200 nucleotides) under soil metagenome. Its description in RNAcentral is "partial contains internal transcribed spacer 2 and large subunit ribosomal RNA". The record is from RNAcentral.